GGGAUUAUGUGCCCACAACCACACCCAGCUAAUUUUUGUAUGUUUUUGUAAAGACAGGUUUCGCCACCUUGACCAGGCUGUGAACUCCUAACUUCAAGUGAUCUGCCUGCCUUGGCCUCCCAAAGUGCUGAGAUUACAGAUUACCUGGUUAAUGUAGAUUAUCUUGGGCCCAGAAACUCUGAUUACAG
This 188-nucleotide long non-coding RNA is filed under the name Callithrix jacchus (white-tufted-ear marmoset). Its description in RNAcentral is "lncRNA (ENSCJAG00000076038.1)". The record is from RNAcentral. Lineage: Eukaryota; Metazoa; Chordata; Mammalia; Primates; Cebidae.